RNAcentral lists this long non-coding RNA (3144 nucleotides) under Olea europaea subsp. europaea. The record is from RNAcentral. Lineage: Eukaryota; Viridiplantae; Streptophyta; Magnoliopsida; Lamiales; Oleaceae.
ACGAUGUUUAUUGAACUUUGUUAACAAAAAAAAAAAAAAAAAUUACAAUUCACCAAAUGGAUUCGACCCGACACGAAAAAAGUCCAUCAAAAUUAGGUUUAAGACAUUGCCUUUUUCCGUUUCCCUGCUCUGAUACACUGUCUUCUCCAAAAAUAAUGAAAUGGCCAUCGUCGCUUCUUCCUUCACUGCCAGAUCUUUAUUUCGAUAAUCCUUUAUUUCUUGGCAUCGCCAACAAGCUCGGCUCCCAAGCAAAAGCUACUUGAUUUCCCAUCGAUUUUUGGAAAUCGAAACAAAUAUGUGUCUGUUUUUUGAAAUCGAAGUAUUUGCUAGUUUGAAACGGUAAAUAUGUUUUUGUCUUUGAAAUCGAAGGCUACUUGUUGCGUGGUUUAAGAAAAACUUUGCAAGGCAAUUAUACCACUGAUCCCAUUUCCGUCACUUCUCUUACUCUCAACCGCAAAGCCAUUUCUGAUGUAAUUCCUUUUUCUGUACAUUUUGAUUUUUUCACUUUUGCUUGUUUAAAUUUCUCAUCGAUUUUUUUUUUUUUUUUUUUAACAGGUUUCGUGCUUGAGUGAGUUCAAGAAUUUGGAAAGGCUAGAUCUUAGUUUCAACAAUUUAACUUCACUUGAGCUAGUAAUACUUAAACGUAUUUUUGUGUAAAGCUCUGUAUAGGUAGUAUUUUGGGGGGGUGGGGGGACCAUUUGAUGUAUCCGAGAUUUCUUUUAUUAAUUUGUACAUUUUUUUUAAAUUCAAGGUUUGAAGUCUUAUGUGAAUUUGAAGUGGUUAUCAGAUUUGCAGAACAAGAUCGAGAACUUGAAACGGAUUGAGGGCCUCAAUAAACUAACUGAAAGUAGCACAAAUCACCACACAACCAUAUUUUAUAUUUUUUUUUUCCUUGUUGAGUUUUACAUAUUUGAAGCUUUCAAGAGCUUUAUUUAAUUGCUGAAAUUUGAAUUCUAUUCAGAGUAUAACUAGGAUUUGGCUUUCAUCAGUAAUGAAGCUAUUGGUUGGAGGACUUGGAUUUCAGAGCCUUCCAGUCGCUGUAAAUGCUAACAUUUCAUCAAGUGCAAGUACGUGAAUUUGACGACAAUAAUUAGAAUCUGAUGCUGCCUUUUAUCAUCACAUACAUGGUAUUAAAGUUAAAUUUCAUUUCUAGCGUUAAUAUAUACAAUCCAUUGUUGAACAGAAUCAUCAUAUUUGAAUUGAGAAAUUGAGUUGAUUGUUAUCCUUCAUCUAGUCUCCAAUUUUAUUUGCUAUGAAAGUUAAUGAAAACUUUUUGUUAUUCACAGGAAUUGAAAGCUUUGAUGUAUGAGGAUUUUCUUAAAUCAAACAGAGUUUCAAAGGGCUUUCUAAGAAAUUUAAUUUUAUCAAGAAGUUUCAUCAUUUAUCCUUAACCUUAUUUUCUAUUAUUGGAAGUGUUUUUUUUUUUUUUUUUUUUUUUGGAAAAUUUACUCAGAAGAUUGAGUGAUCUUGAUCCUGAUGUUUAAUUCGUCUAGCUAUAUGUUAGGCAACAUUCUUCUACCCAAAAUUAAGCCACCUCUAGUAUAAUUGGUUUUAUAUACUUUGCUUGAUGAUAAUGUAAAAUGAGGACAAAAAAUGUUGAAUUAUCUUUAUUUUCUUCUACUGAUUUUUAUUCAUGAUGAACAGUUACUUUCUUUGCAUUCUUAUAAGUACAAGUUUCAUAACUUCAAAGUUACUGACAUGUCAUAUACCCUCACUGAAAUGGGAUUCAAGUCUUUUGUGGUUUACUAGGCAAGUAUUCAAUGCUAGAAAAAACAAGAUCAAGUCAAUAUGUAUUUGUUUUUUGAAAUCGAAGUAGUUGCUAGUUUGAAACGGUAAAUAUGUUUUUGUCUUUGAAAUCGAAGGCCACUUGUUGCGUGGUUUAAGAAAAACCUUGCAAGGCAAUUAUACCACAGAUCCCAUUUCCGUCACUUCUCUUACUCUCAACAGCAAAGCCAUUUCUGAUGUAAUUCCUUUUUCUGUGCAUUUGGAUUUUUUUCACUUUUGAUUGUUUAAAUUUCUCAUCGAUUUUUUUUAAUUUUUUUUUAACAGGUUUUGUGCUUGAGUGAGUUCAAGAAUUUGGAAUGGUUAGAUCUUAGUUUCAACAAUUUAACUUCACUUGAGCUAGUAAUACUUAAACGUUUUUUUGUGUGAAGCUCCGUAUAGGUAGUUUUUUUUUUUUUUUGGGGGGGGGGGGGGGGGGGGGGAACCAUUUGAUGUAUCCGAGAUUUCUUUUAUUAAUUUGUACUUUUUUUUUAAUUCAAGGUUUGAAGUCUUAUGUGAAUUUGAAGUGGUUAUCAGAUUUGCAGAACAAGAUCGAGAGCUUGAAACGGAUUGAGGGCCUCAAUAAACUAACUGAAAGUAGCACAAAUCACCACACAACCAUAUUUUAUAUUUUUUUUUCCUUGUUGAGUUUUACAAAUUUGAAGCUUUCAAGAGCUUUAUUUAAUUGCUGAAAUUUGAAUUCUAUUCAGAGUAUAAAUAGGAUUAGGAUUUCAUCAGUAAUGAAGCUAUUGGUUGGAGGACUUGGAUUUCAGAGCCUUCCGGUCACUGUAAAUGCUAACAUUUAUCAAAUGCAAGUACGUGAAUUAGACGACAAUAUUUAGAAUUUGAUGCUGCCUUUUAUCAUCACAUACAUGGUAUUAAAGUUAAAUUUCAUUUCUAGCCAUUAAUAUAUACGAUCCAUUGUUGAACAGAAUCAUCAUAUUUGAAUUGAGAAAUUGAGUUGAUUGUUAUCCUUCAUCUAGUGUCCAAUUUUAUUUACUGUGAAAGUUAAUGAAAACCUGCUGUUGUUCAUAGGAAUUGAAAGCUUUGAAGUAUGAGGAUUUUCUUAAAUCAAACAGAGUUUCUAAGGGCUUUCUAAGAAAUUUAAGGAAAAUUUACUCAGAAGAUUGAGUGAUCUAGAUCCUGAUGUUUAACUCAUCUAGCUAGAUGUUAGUCAACAUUCUUCUACCCAAAAUUAAGCCACCUCUAGUAUAAUUGGUUUUAUAUACUUUGCUUGAUGAUAAUGUAAAAUGAGGACAAAAAAUGUUGAAUUAUCUUUAUUUUCUUCUACUGAUUUUUAUUCAUGAUGAACAGUUACUUUCUUUGCAUUGUUAUAUGUACAAGUUUCAUAAAUUCAAAGUUACUGACAUGUCAUAUACCCUC